This 76-nucleotide transfer RNA is filed under the name Actinomycetota bacterium. Its description in RNAcentral is "Actinobacteria bacterium (freshwater metagenome) tRNA-Lys". It matches the Rfam family "tRNA". From Rfam's summary of the family: Transfer RNA (tRNA) molecules are approximately 80 nucleotides in length. Lineage: Bacteria; Bacillati; Actinomycetota. The record is from RNAcentral.
GCCCCUUUAGCUCAGUUGGAAGAGCAGCGGACUUUUAAUCCGUUGGUCCAGGGUUCGAGCCCCUGAGGGGGCACCA